This 812-nucleotide ribosomal RNA is filed under the name uncultured Mycobacterium sp. Its description in RNAcentral is "bacterial SSU rRNA". It matches the Rfam family "Bacterial small subunit ribosomal RNA", at positions 567 to 1376 of the family's 1533-position model. Lineage: Bacteria; Bacillati; Actinomycetota; Actinomycetes; Mycobacteriales; Mycobacteriaceae. The record is from RNAcentral.
GCUCGUAGGUGGUUUGUCGCGCUGUUCGUGAAAUCUCACGGCUUAACUGUGAGCGUGCGGGCGAUACGGGCAGACUUGAGUACUGCAGGGGAGACUGGAAUUCCUGGUGUAGCGGUGGAAUGCGCAGAUAUCAGGAGGAACACCGGUGGCGAAGGCGGGUCUCUGGGCAGUAACUGACGCUGAGGAGCGAAAGCGUGGGGAGCGAACAGGAUUAGAUACCCUGGUAGUCCACGCCGUAAACGGUGGGUACUAGGUGUGGGUUUCCUUCCUUGGGAUCCGUGCCGUAGCUAACGCAUUAAGUACCCCGCCUGGGGAGUACGGCCGCAAGGCUAAAACUCAAAGAAAUUGACGGGGGCCCGCACAAGCGGCGGAGCAUGUGGAUUAAUUCGAUGCAACGCGAAGAACCUUACCUGGGUUUGACAUGCACAGGACGCCGGCAGAGAUGUCGGUUCCCUUGUGGCCUGUGUGCAGGUGGUGCAUGGCUGUCGUCAGCUCGUGUCGUGAGAUGUUCGGUUAAGUCCCGCAACGAGCGCAACCCUUGUCUCAUGUUGCCAGCGGGUAAUGCCGGGGACUCGUGAGAGACUGCCGGGGUCAACUCGGAGGAAGGUGGGGAUGACGUCAAGUCAUCAUGCCCCUUAUGUCCAGGGCUUCACACAUGCUACAAUGGCCGGUACAAAGGGCUGCGAUGCCGCGAGGUUAAGCGAAUCCUUUUAAAGCCGGUCUCAGUUCGGAUCGGGGUCUGCAACUCGACCCCGUGAAGUCGGAGUCGCUAGUAAUCGCAGAUCAGCAACGCUGCGGUGAAUACGUUCCCG